UAUCUGUCUUCAUUCAUGUAGAAGAUUGAUGCCUCAUUCACUUCACAACUUUUCACAUUUUCUCUUCCUCUGGUCUUUACACUUUCAAUAAACCUCUUCGAUUUGGUGAAAAUGGACUCUCUGAAAUGGCAUGAUUGGGAUUGAACAUGCUGGUAAAAGUCUAAUUCAUGAUAGAGCUUAUUUCGUUACUUUUCCUUUGAAGUGUCAAAUGUGUUGUAUUUCGACCUUUCAAAGGUGAGAUUCGGGGAACGACAAUUAGCAUGGUUAACGAGUUCUGUUGUUCACUUAUUGAAAACCCCUACCACGACUUCUUUGGCUCCACAUCCAACCAAUUUCAUAGCUGGAGAUGAACAACUUCUAUUGAUGUUACUCUUGAAAUUUUGAGUUCGUCCGACGCUUUGGGGCCACAGAGAUUUCUUGAAACACAAGUGCAAGGUAAGCCUUUUCCUGAAAUAUCAGUAUACAGUUUUAUGUGAGAUGGUGAAAUUUCUUUGUAACAAAUGCUAUCUACAAUGGUCAGGGGAUCAACUUGUCUAAGUGAAAUUAAAGUAGCUAUUCAAACGACAUUCUUGCCUUUCUCUUUGUUGAAGAGUCAAAAGUUGUUUUAAUUCCAAGCUAUCUUAUUGCUUUUAAAUUGAUGUAUAGAAUGCUAUUCCUUGAUCUCCAUAUGAGAUGUUUUAUGUCAUACCAAAAAAGUAUGAUUGCAUCAAGAUUUUUUUACGUUUGUAAAAAAAGCAUUCGUAGAGCCAUGCAAAGAGCAGCAAAUGCGAAUUGCUUUAACGGAGGUGUCUGAUUAAGUCAUUUGAAUGAUUUGACCCGGCAUCACUUUCAGUUUUCGUAGGCACGUAUAGAACAAACGUAGAGAUAAGGUUGAAUUUUGAAUACACUCUAAAUAGAAAGACUUUAUAUAAGCCAAGUAGCCAACAACUAGACAUCUGCCAUAAUACGCAGCUUGAGUUUGAUUACCUUUAAGGCUUACGAGUAUGGUAACUAAAGAAUUUGCACAAAAAUAGGUUGAAGAAGCCACGUCUAAUGUGUCAAAUUUUUUGCAUAUUAUCUAAAUUGCUCUGCUUUUAAUUUCUACCAACUAAGUUGCAAAAAUUAAUUCCAUUAGUUGUUCGACCUACUUUUGUUCCUAGCAGAGCUUCUUGAAGUUGUAUUGAUAAUGUUGGUAUAGGAAUAAAAUAAAGUUCCUUCUUUCUGUUCCAUUUAUGUAUCUAACUAAUCACUAAAUAUUGAGUUGCAUUUGUAGACAAUAAUCAAAUUGUCGUGGGUAUAGUUUAGUGGUAAAAGUAUGAUUCGUUCUAUUAUUUCUUAAAUAGUUCCUUUCUUUCUGCUCCAUUUAAGUAUCUAAUUAAUCGCUAAAUAUUGAUCUUACGCUAAUGUUUGAUUAGACAAUUGUUUACUUUAGUGUAUCAUGUUAUUGAAAAAUAAUUUGUAUUUAUUUUCUUUUCUUUUUGAGUGCAUGAUGCAUCUGAGACUUAUAUUUUUCAGCUGAAACAAUACACAGCCUUAUGGCUCUGUUUGCUGACAAAUAAAUCAUUUUAGCAACUGUCAAUAAUGAGCAAUCAAAAUCACGAAUUUAGUUGCAAAUUUAUGUGCUUAAGCUGGUAAAGAAAGUAAAAAAUGACUACCUAGAAUUAUUAUUAGGGAAUUGCAUAUGUUGUUGUUGUAAUUGCAUAUGUAGGUCAACAGUUGAAUAUUCUUACUUUCGACAUAGGUGUUAGUCCUUUAGAAGUGGCUCUGUAUCCUUUUGAAAUAUUCAAGCAUGUAGUUUAAUUCCAGCAUGCACCGAGUUAGGAUGAACUUUCUUUAUUGAGGUCGCAAGUCUUUUUUUUUAUUAGUAAGUUGUUUUGUCUUAAUUCAGAUCAUCUUAUCAUCUUAUUAGUCUACUGAUAAUGAUGUGUACUGCUGUAGUGCUCAUGACCAGGAUAUUACUGACAUCGAUAUGGUUUAUUCAACUCUAAUUUUAUCAAACAUUUAGUACUUUCCAAACUGAACAGUUCGCUAGGCGAGGUCUUUUAUUAAAGAUAUGUAAAAUGUCUACAUUAAGGGAUUUGUAGAUGAGCUAUUUGAUAGGUGAGGGAUGACCUUCAUACUUCCUAGGUAAAAACUAUAAGAAGUUUCUGUGGGUACGUAAUUUUACUUAAUGGAUGGACAGGAAAUUUCGUUGAUUCGGAUAUUAAAGUUAUAAUGUAUGGAAAGAGGCUAAUGAAUAAUUACUGAUUUCACAGGAACAUUGGUAUAAUAUUCUUGAGGAAUGACAACGGGAAAGCAGGAUCAUAGCUUAAGGAAACAAUUUUAUCAGAUAAAUGAAUUUAGUUGAUGUUGAGGUAUUAUACUAUUCUAUUCUAUUCUAUUUUUGAGCUCGUAAUUUAGUGAUUUCUACUAUGGGAGUAAUGUGUUACCUAUGAUGUUCAUAAGUUUUAUGCUUUGAAAUGCAUAUUGUGGUAAGUAGACUAAAAAGGAGGCUGAUUUAACUUAAUGGAUUGCUGAUAGCAGGAUUUAGGAGUACCAUUCGUGCAGUUGCAAGUCAGUUGUGAAUAGUUAAACAUACUUUUAGAUUGAGUUAGAUGAAUGUGCAACUCUCAAAAGACCUGCUUUACAACGAGGAGGAAUGCAAGUCUAUGAAGAAUUAAACCGAAAAGCAUUUGGAAGAAGACCAGUCUACAUUGCAAGGGGUUUGUGGAAUGGGAUAUUUUUUAAGGGAACUCUACUACGGGCAUAAAUGACACAAUUGGCUCAAGGAUGCUAAGAAGGAUGUUGGAGCCUCUUGUGGACCCACAUAAGAUAGCAUAUGGCGCUUGGAAGAUAGCUUGGGAAGAGAUGGAGAAGGCUACUACACAAAGUGGCUAGAAGUGCAAAUUAUGGCUAAAGGUUGCAAUUCAUGGCUAAGGAUGCAAUUCAAGGCUAAGAAUGCAAUUUGAGGCUAUAAUUGCAAGUCAAUUGGACAUGUGGAAUGAAGGCCUCAUGUGGGGGUUAUUUGCGCAAAGUGCCACUUUCGCCUUUGUUGU
Molecule: long non-coding RNA, 3014 nt
Organism: Lycium ferocissimum
Lineage: Eukaryota; Viridiplantae; Streptophyta; Magnoliopsida; Solanales; Solanaceae
Exons: 4
Source: RefSeq, a predicted model, not a curated record